This 623-nucleotide long non-coding RNA is filed under the name Mytilus galloprovincialis (Mediterranean mussel). The record is from RNAcentral. Lineage: Eukaryota; Metazoa; Mollusca; Bivalvia; Mytilida; Mytilidae.
UUUCCAUAGGGUACCACUAGUGUUCCGUAUUUUUUUUUCUCGAAGACUACACAAACUAGCGAAAAAACGGGUGGCAGUUCCUGUUACUAGAAAUGCCAGUGUUGCAUUACAACCAAAAAAAAAAUAUAGGGUCAUGCGGCUCAAAUUGACUUAAAAUGCAGUUGAAAAAGAUCGUCUACUUUUUUCGCUUAAUGAAAAAGGCAUAUUUUUAAUGGCUCCGACGUGCAGAAAUUAAAGAUAUUUUCUAUACUUUGUAAAAUAUGAAUAUGAUUUUCGGCAAUUUUUAAACCUAAUUGGAUAAGCUUUCGAUUAAAUGUAAUUCCAAUCCUGUAUCAACCAAUCAGAAGCCGUAUAGGAUUCUAUUCUGAGUACCAUCUUGGGGUAAAAAACUUGCCGGUAAAAUGUAAACAAAUAAUUGCGCUCUUGUAACCUAUACGGUAGUGAAAAAAAUUUCCGAAAAUUAAGCGCCCGCGCCAAAAGUCGCGCUGGCGUCUAUCUAGAUGAUAUCACAUCUUCAAAACAUUAUCUGGUCACUCUCUGAAUUUGGAGAAUCACUUUUUGCCGGCCGAUCAGGCCAAAAAUUGGAACUGAUUUUUUCGCCAAAUACGGUACUGGUCAAAGAC